CCAAAUUAGCUCCAGUGUGUGUUGGUUCAGUAUCAGCACAUUCACUCUUUACUGUUUUAAUUAGGGAGGGGGACUGAGAGCGCUACACCACUGUCCCCCUGUCCUACUCCCCUACUCCUACUCCCCUACUCCCCCACUCCCCGACUCCCACUCCCCUACUCCCACUCCCCCGCUACCCUACUCCCCUACUCCUACUCCCCAUUAGAUGUUCUUGUAUUUUUUUCUUGAAGGUGGAUUUACUUUUUUUAGUAGAGAGUGCCAUUCUGCUAUGGCUCUACAUAAAACUGUAGAUUUAUGGCGAUUUGUCCUUGGCUUGGGUUGUCUUAGCUGUCCUGAAUUUGCCUAUCUGGUUCAAAGCCAUCCUCCCCUCAGAAGCCUCCACUGGUGUGUGCAUGUGUUUCUCUCCAUUCUAUAUGUUCCAAACCUGGAGAAAGAGAGAAACCUAACUUCUGGGUUUGUCCUCAGAGAGUAACUGUCUUUCUGAAUAAUUAAUGUGUAGAGCAUCGUUGUUUCUGAACUCCAUAGAGCCUCCAUAGUUUCUCUAAACGCCAUGUUCUCUGAUAACACUCUGGUGUGGUGUAGGGUUAGAGAGCUGGGGGAGGUGGAGGUAGAGCCAUGUAUUGGGGGUGUAGGGUUAGAGAGCUGGGGGGAGGUGGAGGUAGAGGCAUGUAUUGGGGGUGUAGGGUUAGAGAGCUGGGGGGAGGUGGAGGUAGAGGCAUGUAU
This 723-nucleotide long non-coding RNA is filed under the name Salmo salar (Atlantic salmon). Its description in RNAcentral is "lncRNA (ENSSSAG00000092794.1)". Lineage: Eukaryota; Metazoa; Chordata; Actinopteri; Salmoniformes; Salmonidae. The record is from RNAcentral.